AGAUUCCGAUCACCAUGAAGAGUGGGCGGGAACUCAGAAUUCGUGACUGUCCAAGUUCCUGAGGGCUGGCUGCUACUGACUCCGAGGGCCCCCAGACAUCACUCUGGAAACGGCAGCUCUGGCUGAAUGUCACUUCCCCGAGAAGCCUUGGAAUACCUCUGACAGACCAGCCCUUAUGCAGUGACAGUGACCUCGGCCAUCCUUCACCCACUUUGUAAUGAUGUGUCUAUUGGUGUGAGACUCUGAGACAUUGAGGACCGAAUCCAUGGAGAAGGAGAGAUGGCUCGGUGGCUAAGAGCACUUACUGCUCCUCCAGAAGACCUUAGUUCUAUGCCCAGAACGCACGGGAAGAAAAUAUAAUAAAAUGAAUUAAAAUAAAAACUACAAAAAAAACAACAGACAAGGGGACAGGACAGAACGAGCCUGAGACACGCCCAGACAAGCCUGAAAACAAGGUCAUGGGAUUGUUCCAGGAACUGGCUAGCCACUACCAAACUCCCUGCUCUACACAUAGAGAUAAGAUGCUCUCCUACACUAUGAACAUUCCAGCCCGCGUGCACUGCUCGCUGAUAUGACCUUGUACCCAUUUCCCUUGCUGAUGUAUGAAUCAACCAAUCAAGUAUAACCACGCCGAAUCCCCUUGCCUUCCCCUAUAAAAAUCCUUGAAUUUCGAGUCUUGGGGUCGACUCCUCUGUCUCCUGUGUGAGAUACGAGCCGUCCCAGGGCUCUGAUAAUAAACUGCCUCGUGUGCUUUACAUGAA
Molecule: non-coding RNA, 761 nt
Organism: Rattus norvegicus (Norway rat)
Lineage: Eukaryota; Metazoa; Chordata; Mammalia; Rodentia; Muridae
Source: RefSeq, a predicted model, not a curated record